AUUGAACGCUGGCGGCAUGCCUUACACAUGCAAGUCGAACGGCAGCACGGGUGCUUGCACCUGGUGGCGAGUGGCGAACGGGUGAGUAAUACAUCGGAACAUGUCCUGUAGUGGGGGAUAGCCCGGCGAAAGCCGGAUUAAUACCGCAUACGAUCUACGGCUGAAAGCGGGGGACCUUCGGGCCUCGCGCUAUAGGGUUGGCCGAUGGCUGAUUAGCUAGUUGGUGGGGUAAAGGCCUACCAAGGCGACGAUCAGUAGCUUGUCUGAGAGGACGACCAGCCACACUGGGACUGAGACACGGCCCAGACUCCUACGGGAGGCAGCAGUGGGGAAUUUUGGACAAUGGGCGAAAGCCUGAUCCAGCAAUGCCGCGUGUGUGAAGAAGGCCUUCGGGUUGUAAAGCACUUUUGUCCGGAAAGAAAUCCUUGGCCCUAAUACGGUCGGGGGAUGACGGUACCGGAAGAAUAAGCACCGGCUAACUACGUG
Molecule: ribosomal RNA, 486 nt
Filed under: uncultured bacterium
Lineage: Bacteria
Description: partial 16S ribosomal RNA
Rfam family: Bacterial small subunit ribosomal RNA
Source: RNAcentral